AUGACGGGGUCGCCGGCAAGUUGUGGUGCCUUUGUGCCCCCCUGCCCGGCCGGCCGAGACGUGCAACGGCCACCCGUGCCCUUCGCCGCCGGAGGCGUGCUGAACGGGCUGAUCCACGUGGUGCUGGGGCAGGCGCCUCCCAAGGAGCCGUUCUGCUCCCUCAUCCUCGUGCUCGUCGACCUGGACGCCGCCGCCUUCAUCUUCCUCGCCAUCAGUGCCCACGUCCUCGGCGUCAACCUCUACGUCGACGUCGACCUCACGCUGCUGCCGAGCUGCUGCGGCCGCAAGGCGCCCAAGGGCUCCUGA
Molecule: ribosomal RNA, 306 nt
Filed under: Triticum aestivum (bread wheat)
Lineage: Eukaryota; Viridiplantae; Streptophyta; Magnoliopsida; Poales; Poaceae
Description: partial small subunit ribosomal RNA
Source: RNAcentral